RNAcentral lists this ribosomal RNA (301 nucleotides) under uncultured bacterium. Its description in RNAcentral is "partial 16S ribosomal RNA". It matches the Rfam family "Bacterial small subunit ribosomal RNA", at positions 509 to 807 of the family's 1533-position model. The record is from RNAcentral.
CAGUAGCCGCGGUAAUACGAGGGGUGCAAGCGUUAUUCGGAUUGAUUGGGUGUAAAGGGUGUGCAGACGGCUUAUUAAGUCACUUGUUAAAUUCUUCGGCCUAACUGAAGGUCUGCAAGUGAUACUGAUGAGCUAGAGGGUGGAAGAGAGAAGUGGAAUUCUCGGAGUAGCGGUAAAAUGCGUAGAUCUCGAGAGGAACACCAAUGGCGAAGGCAGCUUCUUGGUCCAUUCCUGACGUUCAUACACGAAAGCGUGUGGAGCAAACAGGAUUAGAUACCCCUGUAGUCCCUGUCUCUUAUAC